UCAGUGUCUGUUGACCUUCACUGACCUUGGAGUGACUUGGGGAACUUGACAAAAAAUGGAUGCCAGGGAUUCCUCCUUAAGGAGUCUAAUUUCAUCAGCCUUGAAAAUGUACUAGGUGUCAGGAUUUUUUAAAGUUCCUCCUGUGAUUCUAAAGUGCAAGCCAAGGAUUUCAUCUUAUCAGAGCCUUGUUAAAUGAACACUGGUAUGGAUUUCUGGUUCUCUCACAGAGCAGUUUUGAAUGCAUUACUUAAAUAUAUAAACUACAUAUGGAAAAGUCCUGUUGAGAUUUCUAAGCAGUGGAAUUCCACCAUUCCCAAACAGGUGUAAGGUGAGAGUUCAGAGGGAAAGAUGAACCCCAGUGGCUGAAAAAGACAGGGUUACAAGAACUCUCUCCAUUCACUUCCCCUCGAGAAGUGCAAGAUGAACUUUCAUCCCACCUACACUCAAGUUCAACAUCAUUUACCUUUGUGAUGAAUCUGCUGCUGUCUUGAUACAGUGUCAAGGAGGAACCAGAUCAUGCAGUGGAGGUUUUCUCAUCAGGGGAAGAAGGCGCUACCCCUCAAAGCAUCCAUCACCUAUUCAAAACAAUAGCAACAGCAACGCUGAUAUCACUGGACUGUAUGUAAAGGUGUCUGGUACUGUUCUAAGCUUUAUAGGUACAAACACAGUAUGCUACACCUAAGACUGGUGACUAUCGUCACUCCCACUUCAUAGAUAAGACCGUGGCACAAAAGGUUUUCUGGAUAUUAUACCCAAAGCUUCUAUGAACAUCCAUGUACAGGCUUUUUGAGAACAGACAAAAAUCCUUCUCUGGAAUAA
Non-coding RNA from Odocoileus virginianus texanus, 819 nucleotides. The record is from RefSeq and is a predicted model, not a curated record. Lineage: Eukaryota; Metazoa; Chordata; Mammalia; Artiodactyla; Cervidae.